This 492-nucleotide ribosomal RNA is filed under the name uncultured bacterium. Its description in RNAcentral is "partial 16S ribosomal RNA". It matches the Rfam family "Bacterial small subunit ribosomal RNA", at positions 29 to 507 of the family's 1533-position model. The record is from RNAcentral.
AGUGAGCGCUGGCGGUAGGCCUAACACAUGCAAGUCGAACGGCAGCACAGUAAGAGCUUGCUCUUACGGGUGGCGAGUGGCGGACGGGUGAGGAAUACAUCGGAAUCUACUUUUUCGUGGGGGAUAACGUAGGGAAACUUACGCUAAUACCGCAUACGACCUACGGGUGAAAGCAGGGGAUCUUCGGACCUUACGCGAUUGAAUGAGCCGAUGUCGGAUUAGCUAGUUGGCGGGGUAAAGGCCCACCAAGGCGACGAUCCGUAGCUGGUCUGAGAGGAUGAUCAGCCACACUGGAACUGAGACACGGUCCAGACUCCUACGGGAGGCAGCAGUGGGGAAUAUUGGACAAUGGGCGCAAGCCUGAUCCAGCCAUACCGCGUGGGUGAAGAAGGCCUUCGGGUUGUAAAGCCCUUUUGUUGGGAAAGAAAAGCAGCAGGUUAAUACCCCGCUGUUCUGACGGUGCCCAAAGAAUAAGCACCGGCUAACUUCGUG